GAAUAUGUGGCGCAAUGGUAGCGUGUCUGACUCCAAGUCAGAAGGUUACGUGUUCGAUUCACGUCAGAUUCC
Non-coding RNA from Papaver somniferum (opium poppy), 72 nucleotides. Lineage: Eukaryota; Viridiplantae; Streptophyta; Magnoliopsida; Ranunculales; Papaveraceae. The record is from the annotation of a RefSeq genome assembly.